CCUGUGUUGGUUGUUGCGCAGAGACAGUUUUUGUAAAGUAUUUUGUAGCUGGUCCUGCUGAGGGGAGAAGGGGAAGGCACCUUGGGAGUGUUUAGGCAAGAGGCCUGCAGGCAUACAUAUACCCGUAGUAUGUACUCUGUCUAUGCACACUAGGACCUGAACCCUAGGAUCAUGCCUCAGGACUACCUGGCCUGAUGACUCCUGGCUGUCCCCAGUCCACCUGUUCGUGCUGCUGCUCCAGUUUCAACUGUUCUGCUUGUGGCUAGGGAACCUUGACCUGUUCACCAGAUGUGCUACCUUGUCUCAGACCUGCUGUUUUCAACUCUCUCCCUCCCGCACCUGCUGUCUCGACCUCUGAAUGCUCGCCUAUGAGAAGCCGACUGACAUUUACUCCUGAGUUACUGACCUGUUGCAGCCUCUACAACCACUGUGAUUAUUAUUUGACCCUGCUGGUCAUCUAUGACUGUUAGAACAUCUUGAAGAUCAAUCUGGCAUUAAAUGGCCAUGUACUCUUAUAAUCUCCACCCAGCAUAGCCAGAAGAGUGGCCAACCCUCAGAGCCUGUUUCUUCCUAGAUCCUGCCUUUCUAGGGAGUUUUUCCUAGCCACCGUGUUUCUACAUCUGCAUUGCUUGUGGUUUGGGGUUUUAGACUAGGUUUCUGUAUAGCACUGUGUGACAUCUGCUGAUGUGAAAAGGGCUGUAUAAAUACAUUUGAUUGACUACUUGAAUGCAAUUCAAUAUAAUGUGGUGUUCAAUGUUUUUAAA
Molecule: long non-coding RNA, 764 nt
Organism: Oncorhynchus tshawytscha (Chinook salmon)
Lineage: Eukaryota; Metazoa; Chordata; Actinopteri; Salmoniformes; Salmonidae
Source: Ensembl